AUUUUGAAGAAGAGAAGAAAUGAAGCAUUUUUGGUUGGAGGGAGGGAACAGGGUUUGGCUUGCUGACAUUUCUUUUGUUGUGAUGUUGUAUAGGUCUCGCUUGACUGCGAAAAGGAGAAAGGAGGAGCGUGUGCAGGGAGGUCAGGUCCUGCCAGGGCUUCCUGGGAAAUGAGGAGAAAUGAAGAGGGUAAGAUAACCAAGGUCAGCACCUCACUUCAAGCUGCCAGUUGGGCUCCUCCUGGGGAAGAGAACUGCAUGUUUUUAAGAAAAUCACACUUCAGCAGAAGUCUGCCUUCAACAACACGCCAGAGCACUGUGUGAUGCCAAGGAAAUCAUUUGCUGCAGAGCCCCAAUACUGCAAUCCUUGUUUUUCCUGGGAUAUCUCCCAUGGACCUUCUGGCUGAUUUUUCUCUCAUGAGAUCUAACAUGAUCAUCGUCUGUUGUGCAUAUUACUUUUCUAAGGGCAUAAACAGCCUGGUGUCGUGGGGCAGGCUGCUGGUGCUCAUCUCCAUGGAGCUUAAACUAGGACGCGGGGGCACAAGCAUGGGGAUGCUGCAGCAAACACCACAGCGGAUGGAGUGGGAGCCUCCCCGGGCCAAGGUGAUCUUCACCCUCCCGUGAUGAUCUCAGCUUCCUGCAACCUCCUACUUGUAUGGGUUAGUGUCUUUCCAGGACUGCACAAUGGCAUCCUACAAUGCCCUUUGUGGGGUGAAAUCCCAGUCAUGCCGGUCCCCACAGCCUCUUCCUGCAAGGAGUCUGCCCACAAACUGCUUUUAUUUAGUGUGGCAAAGCACAGGUUUGUAAAAGGGCUUAGGUACUGCAAGACCAUGCCAGCUCAUGUAUUGUGUUAGUAAAAUAAACGUUGUUGUCUUUUAAAGGAAGGCGUUGAA
Molecule: long non-coding RNA, 890 nt
Filed under: Anser brachyrhynchus (Pink-footed goose)
Lineage: Eukaryota; Metazoa; Chordata; Aves; Anseriformes; Anatidae
Description: lncRNA (ENSABRG00000004251.1)
Source: RNAcentral